UACUCCCUCUUACUUAAAAGCUCGUAGCCCCCUGUUCUGUCCCUCAGUCUGCUACAUAACUUCUCCUCGGAGACAUUGCCAAACUGUCGUCCUGAGUAACGUUAAGAGCACCUUGUAUGUUCCUGGGUCCAAUAUGAAAGGAAUUGCGAAGAUUUUCUUUAUUGCAAUGACUCUGCUGGUGAUGUUGAUGUGCGUUGAAGUGACUACGUCUCUCCCAACGCCUAAGGACGGGGAUUCGCCACUGCUUUCACUGGUUAAACGCUCCAAACUGUGCUGUUGUUCAUGUUUCUGCAAUUGCCCUGACUAAGCGG
Long non-coding RNA from Penaeus monodon (black tiger shrimp), 311 nucleotides. RefSeq lists it as uncharacterized. NCBI's taxonomy places the organism in Eukaryota, Metazoa, Arthropoda, Malacostraca, Decapoda, Penaeidae. The record is from RefSeq and is a predicted model, not a curated record. The transcript has 3 exons.